GACGAACGCUGGCGGCGUGCCUAAUACAUGCAAGUCGAGCGGAACUGGGGGAGCUUGCUCCUUCCAGUUUAGCGGCGGGCGGGUGAGUAACACGUGGGCAACCUGCCCUGCAGAUCGGGAUAACUCCGGGAAACCGGUGCUAAUACCGGAUAGUUUGGCGCCUCUCCUGAGGCGCUACGGAAAGACGGUUUCGGCUGUCACUGCAGGAGGGGCCCGCGGCGAAUUAGCUUGUUGGUGGGGUAACGGCCCACCAAGGCGACGAUGCGUGGCCGACCGAGGAGGGUGCCCGGCCACCCUGGGACGGAGCCCCGGCCCAGACUCCUACGGGAGGAAGCAGUAGGGAAUCUUCCCCAAUGAACGCAAGUCUGCCGGAGCAACGCCGCGUGAGUGACGAAGGUUUUCGGAUCGUAAAACUCUUUUGUGAGGGAAGGACACGUACCAACUAACUAUGGGUACCUUGACGGUCCCUCACCAGAAAGCCACGGCUAACUACGUGCCAGCCCCCGCCGUAA
This 512-nucleotide ribosomal RNA is filed under the name uncultured bacterium. RNAcentral's name for it is "partial 16S ribosomal RNA". It matches the Rfam family "Bacterial small subunit ribosomal RNA", at positions 28 to 523 of the family's 1533-position model. The record is from RNAcentral.